Long non-coding RNA from Bombus pascuorum, 591 nucleotides. RefSeq lists it as uncharacterized. The record is from RefSeq and is a predicted model, not a curated record. The transcript has 2 exons. Lineage: Eukaryota; Metazoa; Arthropoda; Insecta; Hymenoptera; Apidae.
UCGAACAGUCCCGCGACUGCGCACACUCGAUUCCCGUUCCUCGAGCCUCGAUUUUCCUCUCUCGUGCCCUUUCUUUCUUUACACCAGCUACAGGACUGGAUGUUCCUGGAAUUGGUAGGGACGAGGGGAAAAAGAUGGCAGUAACGGUCAUCGAUGAAGGAAGGUCGAGGUCCUUGAUUCGAGAUGAAGAUACAAGAUUAUGGAAACACGGUUACGGGUGUUUCGAGGUUUUCAUAACGUUGUUUUUCACGGUUGCGCUGUCAGACACUAGAGGAUUUUGGUUUAUUGGGUGGAUGAUUGAUGGAUUUUAUUUGGGAAGUAGAUUACGAUGGGUAGUAUCUUUCAUAAAUAAAUAAGGUCUGGAAUGUUUUUAUCGAAUAUGCGUGUAAAUAAAAUCUGUUUUUCUAUGCUUCAUGACGGUCUUAGUAUGAGACGUAAAAUAAUAAAAAUUUCCUAUAUUAUGUACCAUCCUUAAUAUAUUUUGGCCAAAUAUUUAUUCACACUGUGAAGGUAUAUGAUCUUUUGAUUGAAACAAUAUAUAAUUAUCCUUCAGGAUGUAUUAUAUCUGUUCCAAUAAAUAAAAUUCUCUUA